GCGACAAACAAUGUCAGCUCCUUUUUAAAUGCAUUAGCAGAGCAGUGUUAGGACUGGCCUCAGUUUGAUAAGAAGUUAUCUAUGCUGUCGCUGGGUUUUCCUCUUUGUGCUUGGCUUCAAACUGUCUAUGGACUGUCUCUCAAGGCAAUAAAUCUUUAUUGAUCGACCUCAAAUCAGGUAGGACUACCCGCUGAACUUAA
This 200-nucleotide unclassified non-coding RNA is filed under the name soil metagenome. RNAcentral's name for it is "partial contains internal transcribed spacer 2 and large subunit ribosomal RNA". The record is from RNAcentral.